GAUGAGCGCUGGCGGCGUGCCUAAUACAUGCAAGUCGAGCGAACAGACGAGGAGCUUGCUCCUCUGACGUUAGCGGCGGACGGGUGAGUAACACGUGGAUAACCUACCUAUAAGACUGGGAUAACUUCGGGAAACCGGAGCUAAUACCGGAUAAUAUAUUGGACCGCAUGGUUCAAUAGUGAAAGACGGUUUUGCUGUCACUUAUAGAUGGAUCCGCGCCGCAUUAGCUAGUUGGUAAGGUAACGGCUUACCAAGGCAACGAUGCGUAGCCGACCUGAGAGGGUGAUCGGCCACACUGGAACUGAGACACGGUCCAGACUCCUACGGGAGGCAGCAGUAGGGAAUCUUCCGCAAUGGGCGAAAGCCUGACGGAGCAACGCCGCGUGAGUGAUGAAGGUCUUCGGAUCGUAAAACUCUGUUAUUAGGGAAGAACAAAUGUGUAAGUAACUAUGCACGUCUUGACGGUACCUAAUCAGAAAGCCACGGCUAACUACGUG
This 497-nucleotide ribosomal RNA is filed under the name uncultured bacterium. RNAcentral's name for it is "partial 16S ribosomal RNA". It matches the Rfam family "Bacterial small subunit ribosomal RNA", at positions 28 to 507 of the family's 1533-position model. The record is from RNAcentral.